CAACUUGAGAGUUUGAUCCUGGCUCAGAACGAACGCUGGCGGCAGGCUUAACACAUGCAAGUCGAGCGCCCCUCCUUCAAGCAAGCUUGAAGGAUUUAAUCCUUGAAAAAGAAGAUCAAGAAGAGCUUCAGAAUGAAGCUUUCUUGAUGGAGGGGAGCGGCAGACGGGUGAGUAACACGUGGGAAUCUACCCAUCCCUGCGGAACAACUCCGGGAAACUGGAGCUAA
Molecule: ribosomal RNA, 227 nt
Filed under: Agrobacterium sp. Ap1
Lineage: Bacteria; Pseudomonadati; Pseudomonadota; Alphaproteobacteria; Hyphomicrobiales; Rhizobiaceae
Description: partial 16S ribosomal RNA
Rfam family: Bacterial small subunit ribosomal RNA
Source: RNAcentral